This 446-nucleotide ribosomal RNA is filed under the name uncultured bacterium. RNAcentral's name for it is "bacterial SSU rRNA". It matches the Rfam family "Bacterial small subunit ribosomal RNA", at positions 329 to 792 of the family's 1533-position model. The record is from RNAcentral.
GUCCAGACUCCUACGGGAGGCAGCAGUGGGGAAUAUUGCACAAUGGGGGGAACCCUGAUGCAGCGACGCCGCGUGAGCGAAGAAGUAUCUCGGUAUGUAAAGCUCUAUCAGCAGGGAAGAAAAUGACGGUACCUGACUAAGAAGCUCCGGCUAAAUACGUGCCAGCAGCCGCGGUAAUACGUAUGGAGCAAGCGUUAUCCGGAUUUACUGGGUGUAAAGGGAGCGCAGACGGCAGGGCAAGUCUGAUGUGAAAGUCCGGGGCUCAACCCCGGGACUGCAUUGGAAACUGUCCGGCUAGAGUGCAGGAGAGGUAAGUGGAAUUCCUAGUGUAGCGGUGAAAUGCGUAGAUAUUAGGAGGAACACCAGUGGCGAAGGCGGCUUACUGGACUGUAACUGACGUUGAGGCUCGAAAGCGUGGGGAGCAAACAGGAUUAGAUACCCUCGUA